This 468-nucleotide ribosomal RNA is filed under the name uncultured bacterium. Its description in RNAcentral is "partial 16S ribosomal RNA". It matches the Rfam family "Bacterial small subunit ribosomal RNA", at positions 28 to 507 of the family's 1533-position model. The record is from RNAcentral.
GACGAACGCUGGCGGCGUGCUUAACACAUGCAAGUCGAACGGAAAGGCCCUGCUUUUGUGGGGUGCUCGAGUGGCGAACGGGUGAGUAACACGUGAGUAACCUGCCCUUGACUUUGGGAUAACUUCAGGAAACUGGGGCUAAUACCGGAUAGGAGCUCCCGCUGCAUGGUGGGGGUCGGAAAGUUUCGGCGGUUGGGGAUGGACUCGCGGCUUAUCAGCUUGUUGGUGGGGUAGUGGCUUACCAAGGCUUUGACGGGUAGCCGGCCUGAGAGGGUGACCGGCCACAUUGGGACUGAGAUACGGCCCAGACUCCUACGGGAGGCAGCAGUGGGGAAUAUUGCACAAUGGGCGGAAGCCUGAUGCAGCAACGCCGCGUGCGGGAUGACGGCCUUCGGGUUGUAAACCGCUUUCGCCUGUGACGAAGCGUGAGUGACGGUAAUGGGUAAAGAAGCACCGGCUAACUACGUG